GAUGAACGCUGGCGGCGUGCCUAAUACAUGCAAGUCGAGCGAACGGACGAGAAGCUUGCUUCUCUGAUGUUAGCGGCGGACGGGUGAGUAACACGUGGAUAACCUACCUAUAAGACUGGGAUAACUUCGGGAAACCGGAUCUAAUACCGGAUAAUAUUUUGAACCGCAGGGUUCAAAAGUGAAAGACGUUCUUGCUGUCCCUUAUAGAUGGAUCCGCGCUGGAUUAGCUAGUUGGUAAGGUAACGGCUUACCAAGGCAACGAUGCAUAGCUGACCUGAGAGGGUGAUCGGCCACACUGGAACUGAGACACGGUCCAGACUCCUACGGGAGGCAGCAGUAGGGAAUAUUCGGCAAUGGGCGAAAGCCUGACGGAGCAACGCCGCGUGAGUGAUGAAGGUCUUCGGAUCGUAAAACACUGUUAUUAGGGAAGAACAUCUGUGUAAGUAACUGUGCACAUCUUGACGGUACCUACUGAGAAAGCAACGGCUAACUACGUG
This 497-nucleotide ribosomal RNA is filed under the name uncultured bacterium. Its description in RNAcentral is "partial 16S ribosomal RNA". It matches the Rfam family "Bacterial small subunit ribosomal RNA", at positions 28 to 507 of the family's 1533-position model. The record is from RNAcentral.